Molecule: long non-coding RNA, 655 nt
Organism: Rosa chinensis
Lineage: Eukaryota; Viridiplantae; Streptophyta; Magnoliopsida; Rosales; Rosaceae
Exons: 3
Source: RefSeq, a predicted model, not a curated record
CUAGUCGAGUUUCCUACCAAAAGAAGUUUGCUGAGCUUGUUGUUAAACUUUCUUUCACAAGUUACCCCAGACACUGCGUUGUAGAUUCAAUGCCAUGCAUCAUUGUUAAACUUCUUUUAUAUAUCCCUUUCAAUUGUACUUGCUACCUGGUUUGACUAUUACAUUUUACUUGGAGAUUAUUUGUUAUUAUUUUGGAAUAGCCUAUUCUUGAGCUUGUAUCUCCAGACUUGCUAUGAUUGUGUUUGUUUCCUUUUCCUUUAGAAGAACCGGCCAUGUUUCACAUUUCUAUCAACUUGAUUGUAAAACUGCAAGUAUGCUGCAUUAUCAAAAGAAGAGUGGGAAGAACAAUUCGCAAGUAUAAACUGCAAGUAUGCUGCAUUACUUGGAGAUUAUAGUUUUAUUCUGAAGCAUAAACAACGCAGGUUGUUAAAGUGAAAUCAGCCAUCUCAAGGUGUCAAGUGCUGGGUAUGGUCACAAUCUGAACUGUUCAAAGGUGCAAUCAUCCAUCUUUGGGGCUUCUAUCUCAACCUGGUCGUCUUUACAUUUCAGCAUAUGCAGUGAAAAAUUCUAUGCAAACUCUGAAGGCAAGUGAUUGGCAUCUUGAAGGAGCUAGGAGCAUUUAAUAUAUUCUACAGCAAAGCCACGGGAGGAGAAG